This 253-nucleotide ribosomal RNA is filed under the name uncultured bacterium. RNAcentral describes it as "partial 16S ribosomal RNA". It matches the Rfam family "Bacterial small subunit ribosomal RNA", at positions 524 to 776 of the family's 1533-position model. The record is from RNAcentral.
UACGUAGGUGGCAAGCGUUGUCCGGAUUUAUUGGGUUUAAAGGGUGCGUAGGCGGCUUUGUAAGUCAGUGGUGAAAUAUGGCAGCUCAACUGUCAAGGUGCCAUUGAUACUGCGGAGCUUGAGUACAGAUGAGGUAGGCGGAAUUGACGGUGUAGCGGUGAAAUGCUUAGAUAUCGGGAGGAACACCAGUGGCGAAGGCGACUUCCUGGCCUGUUCUUGACGCUGAGGCGCGAAAGCUAGGGUAGCAAACGGG